UACGUAGGUGGCAAGCGUUGUCCGGAAUUAUUGGGCGUAAAGCGCGCGCAGGCGGUCCUUUAAGUCUGAUGUGAAAGCCCACGGCUCAACCGUGGAGGGUCAUUGGAAACUGAGUGACUUGAGUACAGAAGAGAAGAGUGGAAUUCCACGUGUAGCGGUGAAAUGCGUAGAGAUGUGGAGGAACACCAGUGGCGAAGGCGACUCUUUGGUCUGUAACUGACGCUGAGGCGCGAAAGCGUGGGGAGCAAACAGG
RNAcentral lists this ribosomal RNA (253 nucleotides) under uncultured bacterium. RNAcentral's name for it is "partial 16S ribosomal RNA". It matches the Rfam family "Bacterial small subunit ribosomal RNA", at positions 524 to 776 of the family's 1533-position model. The record is from RNAcentral.